UAGAGGAAGUAAAAGUCGUAACAAGGUCUCCGUUGGUGAACCAGCGGAGGGAUCAUUACCGAGUUUACAACUCCCAGAACCCAAUGUGAACCAUACCAAACUGUUGCCUCGGCGGGGUCACGCCCCGGGUGCGUCGCAGCCCCGGAACCAGGCGCCCGCCGGAGGGACCAACCAAACUCUUUCUGUAGUCCCCUCGCGGACGUUAUUUCUUACAGCUCUGAGCAAAAAUUCAAAAUGAAUCAAAACUUUCAACAACGGAUCUCUUGGUUCUGGCAUCGAUGAAGAACGCAGCGAAAUGCGAUAAGUAAUGUGAAUUGCAGAAUUCAGUGAAUCAUCGAAUCUUUGAACGCACAUUGCGCCCGCCAGUAUUCUGGCGGGCAUGCCUGUCCGAGCGUCAUUUCAACCCUCGAACCCCUCCGGGGGGUCGGCGUUGGGGAUCGGGAACCCCUAAGACGGGAUCCCGGCCCCGAAAUACAGUGGCGGUCUCGCCGCAGCCUCUCCUGCGCAGUAGUUUGCACAACUCGCACCGGGAGCGCGGCGCGUCCACGUCCGUAAAACACCCAACUUCUGAAAUGUUGACCUCGGAUCAGGUAGGAAUACCCGCUGAACUUAAGCAUAUCAAUA
Molecule: ribosomal RNA, 624 nt
Filed under: Ascomycota sp. UNEX FECRGA 2012E222
Lineage: Eukaryota; Fungi; Ascomycota
Description: eukaryotic LSU rRNA
Rfam family: 5.8S ribosomal RNA (bases 244-397)
Source: RNAcentral